This 309-nucleotide ribosomal RNA is filed under the name Triticum aestivum (bread wheat). Its description in RNAcentral is "partial small subunit ribosomal RNA". Lineage: Eukaryota; Viridiplantae; Streptophyta; Magnoliopsida; Poales; Poaceae. The record is from RNAcentral.
AUGAACCGCUAUGGUAUGCCAUUCAUACCUUUUGUUGGUCUUAACAAUCACCGGAAGACCACUGUUUUUGCUUGUGCCAUAGUUUCGGACGAGACCGAACAGACAUGUGUGUGGCUGCUGAAGACUUUUUUGAGGUGCAUGUGUCAAAAGAUGCCGAAGAGUGUAAUCAUAGAUGCUGACGUCGUGAUGAUCAAGGCUAUUCGCGAAGUCUUUCCAGACGUGUGGCACCGUAUAUGCACGUGGCAUAUAGAAAAAAAUAUGAAGAUUCACCUUAGUCACAAGUCCUUGAAGGAGUUCCGAACUCUUCUG